RNAcentral lists this ribosomal RNA (502 nucleotides) under uncultured bacterium. Its description in RNAcentral is "bacterial SSU rRNA". It matches the Rfam family "Bacterial small subunit ribosomal RNA", at positions 30 to 528 of the family's 1533-position model. The record is from RNAcentral.
AUUGAACGCUGGCGGAAUGCUUUACACAUGCAAGUCGAACGGUAGAGGGGGCAACCCCUUGAGAGUGGCGAACGGGUGAGUAAUAUAUCGGAACGUGCCCAGUCGUGGGGAUAACGUAGCGAAAGUUACGCUAAUACCGCAUACGAUCUAAGGAUGAAAGCGGGGGAUCGCAAGACCUCGCGCGAUUGGAGCGGCCGAUAUCAGAUUAGGUAGUUGGUGAGGUAAAGGCUCACCAAGCCAACGAUCUGUAGCUGGUCUGAGAGGACGACCAGCCACACUGGAACUGAGACACGGUCCAGACUCCUACGGGAGGCAGCAGUGGGGAAUUUUUGGACAAUGGACGCAAGUCUGAUCCAGCCAUUCCGCGUGCAGGAUGAAGGCCCUCGGGUUGUAAACUGCUUUUGUACGGAACGAAAAGGUUUCUAUUAAUACUAGGAGCUCAUGACGGUACCGUAAGAAUAAGCACCGGCUAACUACGUGCAGCAGCCGCGGUAAAGUGACU